GACGAACGCUGGCGGCGUGCUUAACACAUGCAAGUCGAACGGAAAGGCCCUGCUUUUGUGGGGUGCUCGAGUGGCGAACGGGUGAGUAACACGUGAGUAACCUGCCCUUGACUUUGGGAUAACUUCAGGAAACUGGGGCUAAUACCGGAUAGGAGCUCCUGCUGCAUGGUGGGGGUUGGAAAGUUUCGGCGGUUGGGGAUGGACUCGCGGCUUAUCAGCUUGUUGGUGGGGUAGUGGCUUACCAAGGCUUUGACGGGUAGCCGGCCUGAGAGGGUGACCGGCCACAUGGGGACGGAGAUCCGGCCCAGACUCCUACGGGAGGCAGCAGUGGGGAAUAUUGCACAAUGGGCGGAAGCCUGAUGCAGAAACGCCGCGUGCGGGAGGACGGCCUUCGGGUGGUAAACCGCUUUCGCCUGUGACGAAGCGUGAGGGACGGUAAUGGGUAAAGAAGCACCGGCUAACUACGU
RNAcentral lists this ribosomal RNA (467 nucleotides) under uncultured bacterium. RNAcentral's name for it is "partial 16S ribosomal RNA". It matches the Rfam family "Bacterial small subunit ribosomal RNA", at positions 28 to 506 of the family's 1533-position model. The record is from RNAcentral.